CCUGGCGGCGAGCGGCGAACGGGUGAGUAACGCGUAGGAAUCUACCCAGUAGCGGGGGAUAGCCCGGGGAAACUCGGAUUAAUACCGCAUACGCCCUAAGGGGGAAAGCAGGGGAUCGUAAGACCUUGCACUAUUGGAAGAGCCUGCGUUGGAUUAGCUAGUUGGUAGGGUAAAAGCCUACCAAGGCGACGAUCCAUAGCUGGUCUGAGAGGAUGAUCAGCCACACCGGUACUGAGACACGGUCCGGACUCCUACGGGAGGCAGCAGUGGGGAAUAUUGGACAAUGGGGGCAACCCUGAUCCAGCCAUGCCGCGUGUGUGAAGAAGGCCUUCGGGUUGUAAAGCACUUUAAGUGGGGAGAAAGGCUCGGCAGUUAAUACCUGUCGGGAUUGAUGCUACCCACAGAAUAAGCACCGGCUAACUCUGUGCCAGCAGCCGCGGUAAUACAGAGGGUGCAAGCGUUAAUCGGAAUUACUGGGCGUAAAGCGCGCGUAGGCGGCUGCUUAAGUCGG
RNAcentral lists this ribosomal RNA (511 nucleotides) under uncultured Gammaproteobacteria bacterium. RNAcentral's name for it is "bacterial SSU rRNA". It matches the Rfam family "Bacterial small subunit ribosomal RNA", at positions 84 to 591 of the family's 1533-position model. Lineage: Bacteria; Pseudomonadati; Pseudomonadota; Gammaproteobacteria. The record is from RNAcentral.